GGCAGUUUAGUUUAAUGGUAAAACACUUGACGCUUAAUCACAGAGAUGUGAGUUCGAGUCUCAUGGCUGGCCA
This is a non-coding RNA of Octopus bimaculoides (California two-spot octopus), 73 nucleotides long. The record is from Rfam. NCBI's taxonomy places the organism in Eukaryota, Metazoa, Mollusca, Cephalopoda, Octopoda, Octopodidae.